Molecule: ribosomal RNA, 903 nt
Filed under: Triticum aestivum (bread wheat)
Lineage: Eukaryota; Viridiplantae; Streptophyta; Magnoliopsida; Poales; Poaceae
Description: partial small subunit ribosomal RNA
Source: RNAcentral
AUGUCGACGGGAGCGGGAGCGGAGCCGGAGACGGACGACGGCUACGAGGCCGUCUUCAACGUGGAGGUCUUCUCUGACAGGGAGCUGCGGGUAGAGGUCGUCGGCCGCGACGACGACGCGCCCGCGUCCGGCGCCAGCCGCAAGCGCCGCCGCGAGGAGGACAAAGGUGAUGAUGGAGAAGAUAUUGGCUCAUCUUGUACUGUGACGAGUACACCGGUUUUACGAGUUGAGACUAUUUAUGUCAGCUCGGCGAUUCUUGCUGCAAAAAGUAGUUUCUUUUACAAGUUUUUUUCAAAUGGCAUGAAAGAAUCUGGCCAGAGGCAGGCAACAGUCAGAAUUGCUGAUUCAGAGGAGAAAGCCUUCAUGGAGGUGUUACGCUUUAUGUAUAGUGGAAAGUUGACAGCAACAACUGAGCCCAUUCCUCUGGUUGAUAUACUGAUGGCUGCUGACAAAUUUGAGGCCGUUUCCUGCAUGAAGCGUUGCGUUCAGCUUCUCAUGGUCCUGCCUAUGACUCCAGAAUCUGCAGUGAUGUGCCUAGAUCUCCCAUGUUCCAUUUCAAUGGUAGCAGACCUGACAGAGGCAGCCAAGAAAUUCCUUGCCGAAAGGUACACGGAAUUCCUGUCAAAAGAGUUCCAAGAUGAACUUAUGAGGAUGCCUCCUGCUGGGAUUGAGGCCAUCUUAUCAAGGAAUGACUUCGGGGUUGCUUCUGAAGUAGCCGUCUAUGACUUCGUGCUCAGGUGGGCCUGUUCACCUUGCCCAAAUUCUGAAGAAAGAAGGAACAUCUCGAGUUCUCGGUUACUUCCACUAGUGCGUCUUGGUAUGACCAAUGCUGCCUUUUAUUCUUGCCGCACUCUUAACUGGGCUGUGAAGCGUGAGCAGUGCGCCGCUCUCUGCGUAAACUGA